This 522-nucleotide ribosomal RNA is filed under the name uncultured bacterium. Its description in RNAcentral is "partial 16S ribosomal RNA". It matches the Rfam family "Bacterial small subunit ribosomal RNA", at positions 28 to 507 of the family's 1533-position model. The record is from RNAcentral.
GAUGAACGCUGGCGGCGUGCCUAAUACAUGCAAGUCGAACGCUUUGUCUUUAAUUGAUAUGAAGAGCUUGCUCUGAUUUGCUUUUAUCUGACAAAGAGUGGCGAACGGGUGAGUAACACGUGGGUAACCUACCUCUUAGCAGGGGAUAACAUUUGGAAACAAGUGCUAAUACCGUAUAACACUAACAACCGCAUGGUUGUUAGUUGAAAGAUGGUUCUGCUAUCACUAAGAGAUGGACCCGCGGUGCAUUAGCUAGUUGGUAAGGUAAUGGCUUACCAAGGCGAUGAUGCGUAGCCGAGUUGAGAGACUGAUCGGCCACAAUGGGACUGAGACACGGCCCAUACUCCUACGGGAGGCAGCAGUAGGGAAUCUUCCACAAUGGGCGCAAGCCUGAUGGAGCAACGCCGCGUGUGUGAUGAAGGGUUUCGGCUCGUAAAACACUGUUAUAAGAGAAGAACGACAUUGAGAGUAACUGUUCAGUGUGUGACGGUAGCUUAUCAGAAAGGAACGGCUAAAUACGUG